GGGGCUGUAGCUCAGUGGUAGAGCACUUGCCUAGCAUACAUGAGGCACUGGGUUUGAUCCUCAGCACCA
RNAcentral lists this transfer RNA (69 nucleotides) under Ictidomys tridecemlineatus (thirteen-lined ground squirrel). Its description in RNAcentral is "Spermophilus tridecemlineatus (thirteen-lined ground squirrel) tRNA". It matches the Rfam family "tRNA". From Rfam's summary of the family: Transfer RNA (tRNA) molecules are approximately 80 nucleotides in length. Their secondary structure includes four short double-helical elements and three loops (D, anti-codon, and T loops). The record is from Rfam by way of RNAcentral. Lineage: Eukaryota; Metazoa; Chordata; Mammalia; Rodentia; Sciuridae.